Molecule: unclassified non-coding RNA, 296 nt
Filed under: uncultured bacterium
Lineage: Bacteria
Description: partial contains 16S ribosomal RNA and 16S-23S ribosomal RNA intergenic spacer region
Rfam family: Bacterial small subunit ribosomal RNA
Source: RNAcentral
ACGGUAACAGGAAGAAGCUUGCUUCUUUGCUGACCAGUGGCGGACGGGUGAGUAAUGUCUGGGAAACUGCCUGAUGGAGGGGGAUAACUACUGGAAACGGUAGCUAAUACCGCAUAACGUCGCAAGACCAAAAAGGGGGACCUUCGGGCCUCUUGCCAUCGGAUGUGCCCAGAUGGGAUUAGCUAGUAGGUGGGGUAACGGCUCACCUAGGCGACGAUCCCUAGCUGGUCUGAGAGGAUGACCAGCCACACUGGAACUGAGACACGCUCCAGACUCCUACGGGAAGCAGCAGUGGG